This 501-nucleotide ribosomal RNA is filed under the name uncultured Glomeromycotina. RNAcentral's name for it is "partial small subunit ribosomal RNA". It matches the Rfam family "Eukaryotic small subunit ribosomal RNA", at positions 591 to 1092 of the family's 1831-position model. Lineage: Eukaryota; Fungi; Glomeromycota. The record is from RNAcentral.
CCAAUAGCGUAUAUUAGUGUUGUUGCGGUUAAAAAGCUCGUAGUUGAAUUUCGGGAUUGGGAUAUAUCGGUCGUGCCUUUAGGGGCAUGAAUCGGUGUGUGGCCAAUUCUCACCUUCUGGUGAAUUGGGAUGCUCUCGGGUGUUUCAAUGAACUAGGACUUUUACUUUGAAAAAAUCAGAGUGUUUAAAGCGGGCAUUUUGCUUGAAUACGUUAGCAUGGAAUAAUAAAAUAGGACGAUGGUUCUAUUUUGUUGGUUUUAGGACCACGUAAUGAUUAAUAGGGAUAGUUGGGGGCAUUAGUAUUCAAUUGUCAGAGGUGAAAUUCUUGGAUUUAUUGAGGACUAACUAUUGCGAAAGCAUUUGCCAAGGAUGUUUUCAUUAAUCAAGAACGAAAGUUAGGGGAUCAAAGACGAUUUAUGUACGUCGUAGUCUUAACCAUAAACUAUGCCGACUAGGAAUCAGACAAAGUUAAUUUUUUAACGACUUGUUUGGUACCUUACG